AUAAAUUUUACUUGGUGUAAAAAUAUUAAUGGAAGUUGGGAUUAAUUUACCAUGAUUAGAUUAUUAAGUGGGGAUUAAAAAUUUAAUUAGUCAUUAAACAAGUCACUAGUGCACUAAGUGGGCCCCACCAAGACAUGUGACCAAAUUUAAUUGGCUCAAGCCUUGAGUGGGACACUUGUCACUCUUAGGGGCUGCCUAUAUAAGGAAAAAUCUGAUGUUUAAGUGUUCAUUUUAUCAUCUUCAACAUUACAAGAAAAGAGAAAAACCUAGAGAUAGAGAAGGGGGGCUCACGGCCAUGGUGAAAAAAAUCCAUGUUCACUAAGCUUGGUCCAAUUAAUUUUUCCAUGGUGUUGUAAAUCAAAUGGAGGUCUUUGGGAACAUGAAUUGGUCCUUGAGAGCAGCAAGAAUGGUCUUUAAUUGAAGCCAUUAAAUUCAGCAAAUUAAGGAGCAACUUGCUAAGACCUUGGGCAGCCCGAAUCAUAGGUUGGAUUUAGCUUGAGUUUGGAUCGUAUUGGAGAGCGUUUGAGGUGCAGACGCACACCCUGGUGAUCCACCUGUUUAGGACACCCUUUCUGCUAUUCGGAGUGCUCCUCUCUUUCCGGAGCUUAUACUUUUGGUAUAUAUAUUUAUUAGUGCAUUUGUAUAUAUUCGUUCAUGGGUACGGCGGGGCCCUGUCCCGUCAUAUGAUUCUGUCGGUCUGUUUAGAGGUCUGUGGACAUGUUUGUGGGUUAGGGUCUUUCUGUAUAGAUGUAUGUACAUGUCGUUUGGGCGAUCCCAUACGCCGAGGCGGUCGGUCCGCAUAUGUUGUUUGGGCGAUCCUAUACGCCGAGGCGGCCGGUCCGCAUAUGUUUAUAUAUUGCUUGGUUAGCCCUGUGUGGCUUUUGUUGGUAUUUUCUGCGUGCAGGGUAUAUUGGAUAGUUCGUAAAACAAAGGAAACUCUGUCGAAAUUUUCUGGAAAUUACCUAAAUUUGAAAUAAAGUCUUGUCGGCUUCCGCCAUAUACUAGAAUGAGUUGAUAGAAUUUGAGAUAAUAUUUGAUAGAUGGGUUCGGGUGCCCAGAUCGGGCACUAGUCACGGCCUACGGGGUUGGGUCGUGACAGGUUUGUUCUGAAUUUCCUACCUUAUUUAAAUUUUAUCAUAAUAAUGUUUUACUUCAAAAUGAAUUUCUAGGUAGAAAAGAUUUUCUUUGUGGAAAAGGAUUCUACCAUAUUUAUUCCUUUUCUUGUAGGAGAAGAUUUAGACUUCUAUAAAUGUAAGAUUUGUUCUUCUCAUUCACAACACAAUAGCAUCCACAGUAUAGUCUCUAAAGGAGUUUGUUUAGGGAGUGAUCUUUCUCUCGAUAGUUUUUAUGCUUUCUUUUAUACGGAGUAUUAGUUUUUCAUGUAGGUCGAUUAACCAAAUAAUAUCAAAGUAUUAUACAUCUUAGUAUAGUUUUCUUUGUUGUCCGAUUUAUUGCCGUUAAAGUUUGCAAUUAUUAGUUUCCGUAUGAAGCUCUAAUUAUUUUGAUCUCAACAAGUGGUAUCAGAGUCGAUGAUUCAACCAAUGGUUUAGCGGGUUGAAGACAGGUUCAAGGUGUGUUCAAAUCAAGCUGCAAUCAAUUUCACGAUAAUGUAGAUUUUGUCCAGAGUACUACAUGUUGAGAUGAAAUUUGAACCAUAUUUUCAACAUCCCUGCUGCUGCAUCAUUAAAAAUAAAGCAAAAUAUUCUUAAACCAUAAUAUUUUUAAUCUUAUUUUUAAUCAUGACAAGCAGUAGUGGUAAAGAUUAUGUGAAGAUGAAAAACCAAGAUUAUUUUGACAGAAAAUUCAAGCCAAGGGGAGAUUUGGUAGGGUUUGCCCUGAAUUUCCUACCUUAUUUGAAUUUUACCAUAAUUGUGUUUUAUUUCGAAUGGGAUUUCUUGGUAGAAUAGGUUUUCUUUGUGAAAAAGGAUUCUACCAUAUUUAUUCCUUUUCUUGUAGGAGAAGAUUUAGAUUUCUAUAAAUAGAAGAUUUAUUUUUCUUAUUCAUAACACAAUAGCAUCCACAAUGUAGUCUCUAAAGGAGUUUGUUUAGGGAGUGAUCUUUCUCUCAAUAGUUUUUAUGCUUUGUUUUAUAUUAGUUUUUCAUGUAGGUCAAUCAACCAAAUAAUAUCAAAGUAUUA
Lycium barbarum (goji berry) is the source of this 2137-nucleotide long non-coding RNA. RefSeq lists it as uncharacterized. NCBI's taxonomy places the organism in Eukaryota, Viridiplantae, Streptophyta, Magnoliopsida, Solanales, Solanaceae. The record is from RefSeq and is a predicted model, not a curated record. The transcript has 3 exons.